Triticum aestivum (bread wheat) is the source of this 107-nucleotide non-coding RNA. Lineage: Eukaryota; Viridiplantae; Streptophyta; Magnoliopsida; Poales; Poaceae. The record is from Rfam.
AUAGUACUCCCUCCGAUCCAUAUUACUUGUCGCUCAAACGGAUGUAUCUAGACGUACUAGAUACAUCUGUUUGAGCGACAAGUAAUAUGGAUCGGAGGGAGUAUUUA